RNAcentral lists this ribosomal RNA (483 nucleotides) under uncultured bacterium. RNAcentral's name for it is "partial 16S ribosomal RNA". It matches the Rfam family "Bacterial small subunit ribosomal RNA", at positions 30 to 507 of the family's 1533-position model. The record is from RNAcentral.
GUGAACGCUGGCGGCAGGCCUAACACAUGCAAGUCGAGCGGCAGCGGGUCCUUCGGGAUGCCGGCGAGCGGCGGACGGGUGAGGAAUGCAUCGGAAUCUGCCCUGUCGUGGGGGAUAACCUAGGGAAACUUAGGCUAAUACCGCAUACGACCCACGGGUGAAAGCGGGGGAUCGCAAGACCUCGCGCGAUAGGAUGAGCCGAUGUCCGAUUAGCUAGUUGGCGGGGUAAAGGCCCACCAAGGCGACGAUCGGUAGCUGGUCUGGGAGGAUGAUCAGCCACACUGGGACUGAGACACGGCCCAGACUCCUACGGGAGGCAGCAGUGGGGAAUAUUGCACAAUGGGCGCAAGCCUGAUCCAGCCAUGCCGCGUGGGUGAAGAAGGCCUUCGGGUUGUAAAGCCCUUUUGUCCGGGAAGAAAUCGUCUGGGCUAAUACCCCGGGCGGAUGACGGUACCGGAAGAAUAAGCACCGGCUAACUUCGUG